RNAcentral lists this ribosomal RNA (714 nucleotides) under Triticum aestivum (bread wheat). Its description in RNAcentral is "partial small subunit ribosomal RNA". Lineage: Eukaryota; Viridiplantae; Streptophyta; Magnoliopsida; Poales; Poaceae. The record is from RNAcentral.
AUGAAGGAUCUAGGAGUAGCUGAUGUUAUCUUAAACAUCAAGCUGUUGAGAGAUGAGAAUGGUGGGAUCACACUGCUUCAGUCUCACUAUGUGGAAAAGGUCUUGAGUCGUUUUGGGUAUAGCGACUGCAUGCCUUCUCCAACUCCAUAUGAUGCUGGUGUUGCCACAAGGCCUGACAUCUCAUUUGUUGUGAGCAAGCUGAGUCGGUUUGUGUCAAAACCGGGAGAUGAUCAUUGGCAUGCGCUUGAGAGAGUUAUGCGCUAUUUGAAAGGCACUGCGAGCUAUGGGAUUCACUACACCGGGUAUCCAAGGGUAUUGGAGGGUUAUAGUGACUCAAACUGGAUAUCUGAUGCUGAUGAGAUUAAGGCCACAAGUGGUUAUGUUUUUACACUUGGUGGUGACACUGCCACUGUUGAAGCAGAGUGGCUUCAUGAGCUCUUGAUGGACUUACCUAUGGUUGAAAAACCAAUACCCCCUAUCCUGAUGAACUGUGAUAAUCAAACUGUGAUCGUCAAGAUAAAAAGUUCUAAGGAUAGUAUGAAAUCCUCAAGGCAUGUGAAGAGGAGACUAAAAUCUGUCAGAAAAUUGAGGAACUCCGGAGUUAUUACGUUGGAUUAUAUCCAAACAUCGAAAAAUUUGGCAGAUCCCUUCACAAAGGGUCUAUCACGUAAUGUGAUAGAUAAUGCAUCGAUGGAGAUGGGUCUGAGACCCACC